Long non-coding RNA from Hemiscyllium ocellatum (epaulette shark), 599 nucleotides. RefSeq lists it as uncharacterized. The record is from RefSeq and is a predicted model, not a curated record. Lineage: Eukaryota; Metazoa; Chordata; Chondrichthyes; Orectolobiformes; Hemiscylliidae. The transcript is spliced from 3 exons.
ACGGCCACACCGGCCGGCUGUACAGCAGGCAGGAGCCGGUGACCAUUCUGGAGGCGGAUGGGGUUAAGGGCCUGCUUGGGAACUGGUCGGCCGCCUGGGUGGUGGAGUUCUACUGGUCGUGGGGCGGCCCCUGUGUCAACUAUGGGGCCACCUGGAAGGUACUGGGCCCGGGAGGUGAAAGGGCCACCAGAAGCCUUCUCAGUACUUUACAAGUGACUUCACCAACAUCCUGUACACCUUCAACAUGAUGUCCCAACUCCUUUAUUCAAUGGUGUGAACAAUUAAGCUACCCGAUGAAGGAGCAGCACACCGAAAGCUAGUGCUUCCAAAUAAAUCUGUUGGACUAUAACCCACUGUUGUGAUUUUUCAACCUUGUCCCACCUAGUCCAACAGCAGCACCUCCACCUCCUUUCUAAUGAACACAGCCCAUACCUCCCAGUGCUGCCAGUAAACUGCCGAUGAAAUGAUGCAGUGCCUGCACUCCUGAAAAGUUUAUAAUUUCUAACGAAACCAGCUACUCAUUCACUGCUCCACCUGAUACACGACUUUGGAAACUUAGUGCAGGAGGCUGCAAGAAAUGAGCAGCUUUAAAACAAAAA